GGUGCAUGGUUGUCGUCAGCUCGUGUCGUGAGAUGUUGGGUUAAGUCCCGCAACGAGUCGCAACCCUUGUCUUUAGUUACCAUCAUUCAGUUGGGGACUCUAGAGAGACUGCCGGUGAUAAACCGGAGGAAGGUGGGGAUGACGUCAAAUCAUCAUGCCCCUUAUGACCUGGGCUACACACGUACUACAAUGGCGCAUACAACGAGCUGCGAGAUGGUGACAUCAAGCGAAUCUCUUAAAAUGCGUCUCAGUUCGGAUCGAAGUCUGCAACUCGACUUCGUGAAGCUGGAUUCGCUAGUAAUCGCGCAUCAGCCAUGGCGCGGUGAAUACGUUCCCGGGCCUU
Molecule: ribosomal RNA, 343 nt
Filed under: uncultured Erysipelothrix sp.
Lineage: Bacteria; Bacillati; Bacillota; Erysipelotrichia; Erysipelotrichales; Erysipelotrichaceae
Description: bacterial SSU rRNA
Rfam family: Bacterial small subunit ribosomal RNA
Source: RNAcentral